CCAGGAUUCCCCUAGUAACGGCGAGUGAAGCGGGAAGAGCUCAAAUUUGUAAUCUGGCGGUCUCCGGCCGUCCGAGUUGUAGUCUGGAGAAGCGUCUUCCGUGCCGGACCGUGUACAAGUCCCUUGGAACGGGGCGUCGUAGAGGGUGAGAACCCCGUCUUCGACACGGACUCCCGGCGCUCUGUGAUGCGCUCUCGAAGAGUCGAGUUGUUUGGGAAUGCAGCUCAAAACGGGUGGUAAAUUCCAUCUAAAGCUAAAUACGGGCGAAAGACCGAUAGCGAACAAGUACCGUGAGGGAAAGAUGAAAAGAACUUUGGAAAGAGAGUUAAACAGUACGUGAAAUUGUUGAAAGGGAAACGCUCGGAGUCAGUCGCGUCUGUCGGGGCUCAGCCGGUGUUGGGGGGUCAUUCGUGGUCCCCUCCCCGGUGCACUCCUCGACGUUUGACGGGUCAGCGUCGAUUUCGUCCGUCGGAGAAAGGCUUUGGGAACGUGGCACCCUCCGGGGUGUGUUAUAGCCCUCCGUCUUAUGCGACGGUCGGGAUYGAGGACCGCAGCGCGCCCUUCACCGGGCCGGGGUUCGCCCACGUAACGCGCUUAGGAUGCUGGCGUAAUGGCUUCGAGCGACCCGUCU
RNAcentral lists this ribosomal RNA (631 nucleotides) under Aroramyces sp. OSC122590. RNAcentral's name for it is "eukaryotic LSU rRNA". It matches the Rfam family "Eukaryotic large subunit ribosomal RNA", at positions 69 to 654 of the family's 3401-position model. The record is from RNAcentral. Lineage: Eukaryota; Fungi; Basidiomycota; Agaricomycetes; Hysterangiales; Hysterangiaceae.